RNAcentral lists this ribosomal RNA (779 nucleotides) under uncultured bacterium. RNAcentral's name for it is "bacterial SSU rRNA". It matches the Rfam family "Bacterial small subunit ribosomal RNA", at positions 8 to 796 of the family's 1533-position model. The record is from RNAcentral.
AGAGUUUGAUCAUGGCUCAGGACGAACGCUGGCGGCGUGCUUAACACAUGCAAGUCGAACGAGAUUCAGUGAGUAGCAAUACUCACGAAGAUCUAGUGGCGAACGGGUGCGUAACACGUGAGGAACUUGUCCCGGUCUCUGGGAUAACAGUUGGAAACGACUGCUAAUACCGGAUGACGUCGGAACUUCGCAUGGAGUACUGACGAAAGGGUUACUGGAUCGGGAGAGCCUCGCGGCCUAUCAGCUUGUUGGUGGGGUAAUGGCCUACCAAGGCAUCGACGGGUAGCUGGUCUGAGAGGAUGAUCAGCCACACUGGGACUGAGACACGGCCCAGACUCCUACGGGAGGCAGCAGUGGGGAAUCUUGCACAAUGGGCGAAAGCCUGAUGCAGCAACGCCGCGUGCGGGAAGAAGGCCCUCGGGUUGUAAACCGCUUUCAGAAGGAACGAAACUGACGGUACUUUCAGAAGAAGGUGCGGCCAACUACGUGCCAGCAGCCGCGGUGACACGUAGGCACCAAGCGUUGUCCGGAUUUAUUGGGCGUAAAGAGCUCGUAGGCGGUUCAGUAAGUCGGGUGUGAAGACUUUGGGCUUAACCCAAAGCGUGCAUCCGAUACUGCUGUGACUUGAGUACGGUAGGGGAGCGGGGAAUUCCUAGUGUAGCGGUGAAAUGCGCAGAUAUUAGGAGGAACACCGGUGGCGAAGGCGCCGCUCUGGGCCGAAACUGACGCUGAGGAGCGAAAGCAUGGGUAGCAAACAGGAUUAGAUACCCUAGUAGUCC